GCCUGAGUGGCUCAGUAGGUGGAGCGUCUGACUUCGGCUCAGGUCUGAUCUCACCCUUUGUGAGUUCAAGCCCUGCUUGGGGCU
RNAcentral lists this transfer RNA (84 nucleotides) under Felis catus (domestic cat). It matches the Rfam family "tRNA". From Rfam's summary of the family: Transfer RNA (tRNA) molecules are approximately 80 nucleotides in length. RNAcentral also lists the same sequence under 4 other names. Lineage: Eukaryota; Metazoa; Chordata; Mammalia; Carnivora; Felidae. The record is from Rfam by way of RNAcentral.